CGAACGAAGCACCUUACCUGAUUCUUCGGAUGAAGGUCUGGUGACUGAGUGGCGGACGGGUGAGUAACGCGUGGGUAACCUGCCCUGUACAGGGGGAUAACAGUUGGAAACGGCUGCUAAUACCGCAUAAGCGCACGAGAGGACAUCCUCUUGUGUGAAAAACUCCGGUGGUACAGGAUGGACCCGCGUCUGAUUAGCUGGUUGGCAGGGUAACGGCCUACCAAGGCGACGAUCAGUAGCCGGUCUGAGAGGAUGAACGGCCACAUUGGAACUGAGACACGGUCCAAACUCCUACGGGAGGCAGCAGUGGGGAAUAUUGCACAAUGGGGGAAACCCUGAUGCAGCAACGCCGCGUGAGUGAAGAAGUAUUUCGGUAUGUAAAGCUCUAUCAGCAGGGAAGAUAAUGACGGUACCUGACUAAGAAGCUCCGGCUAAAUACGUGCCAGCAGCCGCGGUAAUACGUAUGGAGCAAGCGUUAUCCGGAUUUACUGGGUGUAAAGGGUGCGUAGGUGGCAGUGCAAGUCAGAUGUGAAAGGCCGGGGCUCAACCCCGGAGCUGCAUUUGAAACUGCAUAGCUAGAGUACAGGAGAGGCAGGCGGAAUUCCUAGUGUAGCGGUGAAAUGCGUAGAUAUUAGGAGGAACACCAGUGGCGAAGGC
This 657-nucleotide ribosomal RNA is filed under the name uncultured Lachnospiraceae bacterium. RNAcentral's name for it is "bacterial SSU rRNA". It matches the Rfam family "Bacterial small subunit ribosomal RNA", at positions 63 to 722 of the family's 1533-position model. Lineage: Bacteria; Bacillati; Bacillota; Clostridia; Lachnospirales; Lachnospiraceae. The record is from RNAcentral.